Molecule: long non-coding RNA, 408 nt
Filed under: Rattus norvegicus (Norway rat)
Lineage: Eukaryota; Metazoa; Chordata; Mammalia; Rodentia; Muridae
Description: long non-coding RNA NONRATT002899
Source: RNAcentral
CAACAGAGGAAGGCCUACAGAUUCCCUUUUCAAAAGUUGACAUUAAAACUGAUCCAUUAAAUCCCAUAUGAUGAGACAUGUAUUUCCUUGUGAGAGCCCUUUGUAACCCCUUUACCCGUGCUAGGCCCUAAUAUCAUCCAAGGGUUUCCUUUAUGUACAGCUAAGAAGCAGGAUGGGGCUGUUGCCAUGGAAAUGCAGCCCCUGAAGAGUGCCGAGGGUGGGGAAAUGGAGGAGCGGGAAAAGAAGAAAGCCAACGUACCCAAGAAGGAGAAGUCAGUCCUGCAAGGGAAGCUCACAAAACUGGCUGUGCAGAUUGGGAAAGCAGGAUUGGUGAUGUCUGCUAUCACUGUCAUCAUUCUGGUCCUCUACUUUGUGAUUGAGACCUUCGUUGUGGAUGGCCGGGUGUGG